GCUGGGCGGUGGACAGCCUUUGCCCACCCGGGUUGGCAACAAAAGGACCAACAUCCGGCAGAGCGGCUGUCAGUUUCGGUACGGUCGCGGAGCACGUCUAACACGCGCGUUUUUUAUCGUCGGUCUGAUAAGUGUCCAAGCAGAUUUUUGCAAAGAUGAACCGUGCCAUCGCUGUGCUGUGUCUGGUGGUUGUCGCUGCCUCGCUGAGCGAGGGAACGUUCGAUGUGCUGCUGCAGAAGAAGAAGGCGUUCCUCGGCAAGCUGCUGCACAAGGACGAAGGAGCGGGCUACGGAGGCCAUUCCGGCUACGGCGGCCAUUCGGGAGCAGUAGGAUACCAAGCCACUGUUGCCGUCGCUCCAGUCCACUACGCUCCUGCUCCAGUAGCGUACGCCGCUCCUGCUCCGGCUCCAGUUCAGUACGCCGCUCCUGCUCCGGCUCCAGUUCAGUACUCUGCUCCAGCACCUGCCCCAGUGCACUACGCUCCUGCCCCUGCUCCGGCUCCAGUCCAGUACUCUGCCCCUGCCCCAGCUCCAGUGCAGUACUCUGCCCCUGCCCCGGCUCCAGUGCAAUACUCUGCCCCUGCCCCGGCUCCAGUGCAGUACUCUGCCCCUGCCCCGGCUCCAGUGCAGUACUCUGCCCCUGCCCCGGCUCCAGUGCAGUAUGCUGCCCCAGCACCAGCCCCAGUCCCAGCACCAGUCUAUGGACCGCCAGCAGCACCAGCACCGUACCCAGGAUGUGAUCACGCACGCGGUGUCUCCCUACAUCACUAAAUUAAGGCGCAACGCUAUGCAGCACUGGCUAGGCUAGGUGUACGGACGAAAGGAACUAUUUAUCGAGCACCUACAGAAGAGCGUUUCAUUUGCGGAUGCGAUCGGCGAUCGUGCCGUGUUUUUGGUCAUCGAUUUCAACUCAACCAGCCACGUUCGGUUCUCGUUGUUUCAUAAGUUCUCGAGAAUGGAUUGCUUGGCUUACAAUACAGACAGCAGCAGAGCUAAAGAUGCCCCCACGAUUCCUUGAAGAUGCCAGUAACGAGUGUGUUUAGUUGUAGAAUGUACUAGAGAAAGGGGCGGAUAGAUUGUAGAAGGAAGAAUGUCCCAUUACACUUUGUAGCACAUGACAAAGAAUAAAGUUACGUUUACGGAAAUGAA
This is an RNA transcript of Anopheles arabiensis, 1148 nucleotides long. It is a transcript of the gene named skin secretory protein xP2-like, with no coding region annotated. The transcript is spliced from 3 exons. The record is from RefSeq and is a predicted model, not a curated record. NCBI's taxonomy places the organism in Eukaryota, Metazoa, Arthropoda, Insecta, Diptera, Culicidae.